Molecule: long non-coding RNA, 323 nt
Filed under: Homo sapiens (human)
Lineage: Eukaryota; Metazoa; Chordata; Mammalia; Primates; Hominidae
Description: HSALNT0371460
Source: RNAcentral
UCCAGUGUAGUCUUGUGUCUAAGCUGGUGUCUGGCCACCAAAGGCAGGCGUGCAGGGCCUUGGCUACUGCGCUAGGUCUGCUGAUGGCCACAAGCCUUUAGUCCCAGCUCUGCCUUAGCAAUGGGGGUGUCUGAAGGCUCAGGGGAUACACAGGUCCUCUAGGUUCCUGGGGAGAUGAUGAGUGAGAGUUUCGACCAGGAGUGGAUACUGAGGAGAGCAAAGAUCACCUGGUGCUCAUCAAGCCGGACUUCCAGAGGCAAAGCUCCUUAACUGAAGAAUUCAGAAGUCUUUGAGGAAUCACCACCAUGGAAUACUAUGCAGCC